This 115-nucleotide ribosomal RNA is filed under the name Pholiota sp. B2/1/1/1/A1. RNAcentral describes it as "5.8S ribosomal RNA". It matches the Rfam family "5.8S ribosomal RNA", at positions 5 to 119 of the family's 154-position model. From Rfam's summary of the family: 5.8S ribosomal RNA (5.8S rRNA) is a component of the large subunit of the eukaryotic ribosome. Lineage: Eukaryota; Fungi; Basidiomycota; Agaricomycetes; Agaricales; Strophariaceae. RNAcentral also lists the same sequence under 1 other name. The record is from RNAcentral.
UUCAGCAACGGAUCUCUUGGCUCUCGCAUCGAUGAAGAACGCAGCGAAAUGCGAUAAGUAAUGUGAAUUGCAGAAUUCAGUGAAUCAUCGAAUCUUUGAACGCACCUUGCGCUCC